ACUCAAAUGAAUAGACGGGGGCCCGCACAAGCGGUGGAGCAUGUGGUUCAAUUCGAAGCAACGCGCAGAACCUUACCAACCUUUGACAUGUCCCGUAUGGGCUCCAGAGAUGGAGUUCUUCAGUUCGGCUGGCGGGAACACAGGUGCUGCAUGGCUGUCGUCAGCUCGUGUCGUGAGAUGUUGGGUUAAGUCCCGCAACGAGCGCAACCCUCGGCCUUAGUUGCCAUCAUUUAGUUGGGCACUCUAAGGCGACUGCCGGUGAUAAGCCGGAGGAAGGUGGGGAUGACGUCAAGUCCUCAUGGCCCUUACAGGUUGGGCUACACACGUGCUACAAUGGCGGUGACAGAGGGAUGCAAUGGAGCAAUCCUGCGCAAAUCUCAAAAAGCCGUCUCAGUUCGGAUUGCACUCUGCAACUCGAGUGCAUGAAGUUGGAAUCGCUAGUAAUCGCAGAUCAGCACGCUGCGGUGAAUACGUUCCCGGGCCUUGCACACACCGCCCGU
This 500-nucleotide ribosomal RNA is filed under the name uncultured bacterium. Its description in RNAcentral is "partial 16S ribosomal RNA". It matches the Rfam family "Bacterial small subunit ribosomal RNA", at positions 899 to 1397 of the family's 1533-position model. The record is from RNAcentral.